AUGGCGACCGGCGCACGGGUGAGUAACACGUAUCCAACCUGCCGAUGACUCGGGGAUAGCCUUUCGAAAGAAAGAUUAAUACCCGGUGGCAUUAGUUCUUCCGCAUGGUAGAACUAUUAAAGAAUUUCGGUCAUCGAUGGGGAUGCGUUCCAUUAGCUUGUUGGCGGGGUAACGGCCCACCAAGGCAUCGAUGGAUAGGGGUUCUGAGAGGAAGGUCCCCCACAUUGGAACUGAGACACGGUCCAAACUCCUACGGAAGGCAGCAG
This 266-nucleotide ribosomal RNA is filed under the name uncultured bacterium. RNAcentral describes it as "partial 16S ribosomal RNA". It matches the Rfam family "Bacterial small subunit ribosomal RNA", at positions 88 to 354 of the family's 1533-position model. The record is from RNAcentral.